GCCCGAGUGGCGGAAUGGUAGACGCAGGGGAUUCAAAAUCCUCCGCCGCAAGGCGUGCGAGUUCGACUCUCGCCUCGGGCA
This 81-nucleotide transfer RNA is filed under the name Rhodovulum euryhalinum. It matches the Rfam family "tRNA". From Rfam's summary of the family: Transfer RNA (tRNA) molecules are approximately 80 nucleotides in length. Their secondary structure includes four short double-helical elements and three loops (D, anti-codon, and T loops). The record is from Rfam by way of RNAcentral. Lineage: Bacteria; Pseudomonadati; Pseudomonadota; Alphaproteobacteria; Rhodobacterales; Paracoccaceae. RNAcentral also lists the same sequence under 1 other name.